Molecule: ribosomal RNA, 419 nt
Filed under: bacterium
Lineage: Bacteria
Description: partial 16S ribosomal RNA
Rfam family: Bacterial small subunit ribosomal RNA
Source: RNAcentral
UGGGGGAUAUUGCACAAUGGGCGCAAGCCUGAUGCAGCGACGCCGCGUGGGGGAUGAAGGCCUUCGGGUUGUAAACUUCUUUUGCUCUGAACAAGGCGCACUUUGGGGUGUGUUGAGUGUAGGGGUUGAUUAGCGCCGGCUAACUACGUGCCAGCAGCCGCGGUAAUACGUAGGGCGCGAGCGUUGUCCGGAAUUAUUGGGCGUAAAGGGCUUGUAGGUGGCUGGUUGCGUCUGUCGUGAAAGCUCAUGGCUUAACUGUGGGUUUGCGGUGGGUACGGGCUGUCUUGAGUGCAGUAGGGGAAGCUGGAAUUCCUGGUGUGGGGGUGGAAUGCGCAGAUAUAAGGAGGAAUACCGGUGGCGAAGGCGGGUCUCUAGGCUGUUACUGACACUGAGGAGCGAAAGCAUGGGGAGCGAACAGG